UCCGGUUUGGCACCGGCAGUCUCCCAUGAGUCCCCGGCAUGAUCCGCUGGCAACAUGGGACAGGGGUUGCGCUCGUUGCGCCACUUAAGGCAACACCUCACGGCACGAGCUGACGACAGCCAUGCACCACCUGUGCGGGCUCCGAAGAGCACCGGCUUUCACCGGUUUCACCCUGCAUGUCAAGCCCUGGUAAGGUUCUUCGCGUUGCGUCGAAUUAAGCCACAUGCUCCGCCGCUUGUGCGGGUCCCCGUCAAUUCCUUUGAGUUUUAGCCUUGCGGCCGUACUCCCCAGGCGGGGUGCUUAAUGCGUUUGCGCCGGCCCCCAAGGGGUCGCUCCCCCAGAGACCUAGUGCCCAUCGUUUACGGCGUGGACUAC
This 375-nucleotide unclassified non-coding RNA is filed under the name uncultured Actinomycetes bacterium. Its description in RNAcentral is "uncultured actinobacterium contains 16S-23S intergenic spacer region". The record is from RNAcentral. Lineage: Bacteria; Bacillati; Actinomycetota; Actinomycetes.